Molecule: ribosomal RNA, 1948 nt
Filed under: human gut metagenome
Description: bacterial LSU rRNA
Rfam family: Bacterial large subunit ribosomal RNA
Source: RNAcentral
UUAAGUGACUAAGCGUACAAGGUGGAUGCCUUGGCAAUCAGAGGCGAGGAAGGACGUGCUAAUCUGCGAAAAGCUUGGAUGAGUCGAUAAGAGGCGUUUAAUCCAAGAUGUCCGAAUGGGGAAACCCAGUAGAUGAAGAAUCUACUAUCACUUACUGAAUCCAUAGGUAAGUGAGGCAAACCGGGAGAACUGAAACAUCUAAGUACCCCGAGGAAAAGAAAUCAACCGAGAUUUCGUUAGUAGCGGCGAGCGAACGCGAAGGAGCCUGUUAGUGAUAAUGACAGAGACAGAGGAACAAGCUGGGAAGCUUGGCGAUACAGGGUGAUAGCCCCGUACUCGAAGUCCAGGUCAUGGUACUAAGCUAACGACAAGUAGGGCGGGACACGUGAUAUCCUGUUUGAAGAUGGGGGGACCAUCCUCCAAGGCUAAAUACUCCUGAUUGACCGAUAGUGAACCAGUACUGUGAAGGAAAGGCGAAAAGAACCCCGGUGAGGGGAGUGAAAUAGAACCUGAAACCUUGUACGUACAAGCAGUGGGAGCCCUUUAAGGGUGACUGCGUACCUUUUGUAUAAUGGGUCAGCGACUUAUAUUUUGUAGCGAGGUUAACCGAAUAGGGGAGCCGAAGGGAAACCGAGUCUUAACUGGGCGUCUAGUUGCAAGGUAUAGACCCGAAACCCGGUGAUCUAGCCAUGGGCAGGUUGAAGGUUGGGUAACACUAACUGGAGGACCGAACCGACUAAUGUUGAAAAAUUAGCGGAUGACUUGUGGCUGGGGGUGAAAGGCCAAUCAAACCGGGAGAUAGCUGGUUCUCCCCGAAAGCUAUUUAGGUAGCGCCUCGUGAAUUCAUCUCCGGGGGUAGAGCACUGUUUCGGCAAGGGGGUCAUCCCGACUUACCAACCCGAUGCAAACUGCGAAUACCGGAGAAUGUUAUCACGGGAGACACACGGCGGGUGCUAACGUCCGUCGUGAAGAGGGAAACAACCCAGACCGCCAGCUAAGGUCCCAAAGUCAUGGUUAAGUGGGAAACGAUGUGGGAAGGCCCAGACAGCCAGGAUGUUGGCUUAGAAGCAGCCAUCAUUUAAAGAAAGCGUAAUAGCUCACUGGUCGAGUCGGCCUGCGCGGAAGAUGUAACGGGGCUAAACCAUGCACCGAAGCUGCGGCAGCGACGCUGAUGCGUUGUUGGGUAGGGGAGCGUUCUGUAAGCCUGCGAAGGUGUGCUGUGAGGCAUGCUGGAGGUAUCAGAAGUGCGAAUGCUGACAUAAGUAACGAUAAAGCGGGUGAAAAGCCCGCUCGCCGGAAGACCAAGGGUUCCUGUCCAACGUUAAUCGGGGCAGGGUGAGUCGACCCCUAAGGCGAGGCCGAAAGGCGUAGUCGAUGGGAAACAGGUUAAUAUUCCUGUACUUGGUGUUACUGCGAAGGGGGGACGGAGAAGGCUAUGUUGGCCGGGCGACGGUUGUCCCGGUUUAAGCGUGUAGGCUGGUUUUCCAGGCAAAUCCGGAAAAUCAAGGCUGAGGCGUGAUGACGAGGCACUACGGUGCUGAAGCAACAAAUGCCCUGCUUCCAGGAAAAGCCUCUAAGCAUCAGGUAACAUCAAAUCGUACCCCAAACCGACACAGGUGGUCAGGUAGAGAAUACCAAGGCGCUUGAGAGAACUCGGGUGAAGGAACUAGGCAAAAUGGUGCCGUAACUUCGGGAGAAGGCACGCUGAUAUGUAGGUGAAGUCCCUUGCGGAUGGAGCUGAAAUCAGUCGAAGAUACCAGCUGGCUGCAACUGUUUAUUAAAAACACAGCACUGUGCAAACACGAAAGUGGACGUAUACGGUGUGACGCCUGCCCGGUGCCGGAAGGUUAAUUGAUGGGGUCAGCGCAAGCGAAGCUCUUGAUCGAAGCCCCGGUAAACGGCGGCCGUAACUAUAACGGUCCUAAGGUAGCGAAAUUCCUUGUCGGGU